Molecule: microRNA precursor, 122 nt
Organism: Ciona intestinalis (vase tunicate)
Lineage: Eukaryota; Metazoa; Chordata; Ascidiacea; Phlebobranchia; Cionidae
Source: Ensembl
UGCCCGAUGAUGUUAUUGUUUUGCAUGUAUUAACUUAACGCAGAUAUGUGGAGUUCAUUUCACACUGAGGGCAUGAACUGUUUUAAAUGUUGUUGCUUUUGCAAACAUAUAACACACUAGCC